This 84-nucleotide transfer RNA is filed under the name Ordospora colligata. Its description in RNAcentral is "tRNA-Tyr". It matches the Rfam family "tRNA". Rfam says of the family: Transfer RNA (tRNA) molecules are approximately 80 nucleotides in length. Their secondary structure includes four short double-helical elements and three loops (D, anti-codon, and T loops). Further hydrogen bonds mediate the characteristic L-shaped molecular structure. tRNAs have two regions of fundamental functional importance: the anti-codon, which is responsible for specific mRNA codon recognition, and the 3' end, to which the tRNAs corresponding amino acid is attached (by aminoacyl-tRNA synthetases). tRNAs cope with the degeneracy of the genetic code in two manners: having more than one tRNA (with a specific anti-codon) for a particular amino acid; and 'wobble' base-pairing, i.e. permitting non-standard base-pairing at the 3rd anti-codon position. The record is from RNAcentral. RNAcentral also lists the same sequence under 1 other name. Lineage: Eukaryota; Fungi; Microsporidia; Ordosporidae.
CUCUCAAUAGCUCAGUUGGAAGAGCACUUGACUGUAGAAGUAGCUGAUAUCGAGGGGCCGUCGGUUCGAAUCCGGCUUGAGAGA